This 505-nucleotide ribosomal RNA is filed under the name uncultured bacterium. RNAcentral describes it as "partial 16S ribosomal RNA". It matches the Rfam family "Bacterial small subunit ribosomal RNA", at positions 28 to 507 of the family's 1533-position model. The record is from RNAcentral.
GACGAACGCUGGCGGCGUGCCUAAUACAUGCAAGUAGAACGCACAGUUUAUACCGUAGCUUGCUACACCAUAGACUGUGAGUUGCGAACGGGUGAGUAACGCGUAGGUAACCUGCCUGGUAGCGGGGGAUAACUAUUGGAAACGAUAGCUAAUACCGCAUAAUAUUGAUUAUUGCAUGAUAAUUGAUUGAAAGAUGCUAUUGCAUCACUACCAGAUGGACCUGCGUUGUAUUAGCUAGUAGGUGAGGUAACGGCUCACCUAGGCGACGAUACAUAGCCGACCGCAUAGGGUGCACGGCCACACUGGGACUGUGACGCGUCCCAGGCUCCUUGGGGUGGCAGCAGGAGGGAAUCUUCGGCGAUGGACGCAAGUCUGACCAAGCAACGCCGCGAGAGUGAAGAAGGUUUUCGUAUCGUGAAGCUCGGUUUUAAGUGGAGAACGGGUGUGAGAGUGGAAAGUUCACAGUGUGACGUUAUCUUACCAGAAAGGGACGGCUAACUACGUG